This 95-nucleotide non-coding RNA is filed under the name Plasmodium falciparum 3D7. Lineage: Eukaryota; Apicomplexa; Aconoidasida; Haemosporida; Plasmodiidae. The record is from RNAcentral.
CAACCUGUUCUAUAAGCACUUGAUCAUUACAAUCCUUUGUACUAGUUGGUUGUAAUAAUUGUCUUAAAUGUUGUGUUAGUGAUAUACGUAAUGGU